AGUGAACGCUGGCGGCGUGCUUAACACAUGCAAGUCGAACGAGAACGGAAUAUAGCUUGCUAUAUUUGUCAGCUAAGUGGCGCACGGGUGAGUAAUGUAUAGAUAACCUGCCCUUAAGGAAGGAAUAACAGUUGGAAACGACUGCUAAUGCCCUAUAUGCCUUUAAUACAUAAGUAUGCAAGGGAAACGCUUUAGUGCUUAAGGAUGGGUCUGUAUGGUAUCAGCUUGUUGGUGAGGUAAUGGCUCACCAAGGCUAUGACGCCUAACUGGUUUGAGAGGAUGAUCAGUCACACUGGAACUGAGACACGGUCCAGACUCCUACGGGAGGCAGCAGUGGGGAAUAUUGCACAAUGGACGAAAGUCUGAUGCAGCAACGCCGCGUGGAGGAUGACACAUUUCGGUGCGUAAACUCCUUUUAUAUAGGAAGAUAAUGACGGUACUAUACGAAUAAGCACCGGCUAACUCCGUGCCAGCAGCCGCGGUAA
Molecule: ribosomal RNA, 485 nt
Filed under: uncultured bacterium
Lineage: Bacteria
Description: partial 16S ribosomal RNA
Rfam family: Bacterial small subunit ribosomal RNA
Source: RNAcentral